UUUUUUUCUUUUUGGUUUUUUGAGACAGGGAUUCUCUGUGUAGCCUUGACUGUCCUGAAACUCACUCCGUAGACCACCUGCUUCUGCCUCCAGAGUACUGGGAUUAGAGGCGUGUGCCACCAGCACCUUUUGCUGUUGAAGGCCAGAAGAUAAAUUGUUGUCCUAUACCUUCAAGUUCCCUUGAAUUCAAGAACAGCAAGGCCUGCAGGCAGGACGAACCAUCCCUACGAUGAGAAUAAUUAUCAGUGAUGAAAAUGCUACACCCUGGAACAGAUCAUAUUGUAAAAACCAAAAAUGCACAGCUGAUCGUGAAGAACAUGAAGAUACAGGCAUUUCAAAUACAGAAAUUCUCAGUUUCCUGCACAUCUUUUCUUAGGAAACUUCUUGAGAGGAAACCAUGAGCUACAGGAAACAGAUGAGUAGAAGGGAUUCAGGAUGCUUUGAUCUUCUCUGGAUCUCUAGAUACUUAACAGAGGGAGAUGUUUUGAGAAUAGGCCAUCAAAGGAUUUCAUCACUGUGAAAGUGUCAGAGAAUGGUGUUUAGUAUGUGACGCCAGAAGCCUCCAACACCCUCAGGAUACAUUAUACUUGCAGGUAAAACACUUGGUGCACAAAGCCUGAUGACCUGAGUUUGAUGCCUGGAACCCACGAUGGGAAGGGAGAACCCGUUUCUAAAAGUUAUACUCUGCACUCCAUACGAACACUAUGGCAUACACACGAGAGUUCUGACUGGCACCCUCUACUAGUGGGCUGCAGGCAUCUGUUGGAAGCCAGAUGCCCACAUGCCAAGCUCCUUGCUCAGUCAAGAAAAGAAACACUGUCCAGACUUGGUUUCAUCAGGAAAGCCUCUGGCAAACAAAAAGAACUUUGUGUCAAAGUCUUUCUCCUACAUUGGCUACCAGCUGUAAUAGCAUCUGAACUUCCUAUGACUCUGUUGACCAGAACAUAGUGACAUGUACUUCUCACUCAACUGGCAAGGAUUCCUUUCUUUCCCAGAGUCCCAGUUACAUGUGCCAGAACUCAAUAAUGAGUUGCCCAGUCCCUGUCCACAAAGACGUAAUUCAUGGGGUGAGCAAUAUCUCGAAAAAUGAUAUGAUCAUAGAAACUUUUAUAAAAAUUAAGUAGAAUUCAAAACUUAGGUUUUUUUUCCUUUAACAAAUACCUUAGGCAGAGGAGAUGGCCCAGUGGUAAUGCAUCUCCAACCAAGUCUGAAGUCCUAGGUUCAAACCAUAGAACCAACACCCAAAAUUUGUCCUCUACACAAG
This 1264-nucleotide long non-coding RNA is filed under the name Cricetulus griseus (Chinese hamster). Its description in RNAcentral is "lncRNA (ENSCGRG00015042417.1)". The record is from RNAcentral. Lineage: Eukaryota; Metazoa; Chordata; Mammalia; Rodentia; Cricetidae.